RNAcentral lists this ribosomal RNA (253 nucleotides) under uncultured bacterium. RNAcentral's name for it is "partial 16S ribosomal RNA". It matches the Rfam family "Bacterial small subunit ribosomal RNA", at positions 524 to 776 of the family's 1533-position model. The record is from RNAcentral.
UACGAGGGGGGCUAGCGUUGCUCGGAAUCACUGGGCGUAAAGGGUGCGUAGGUGGGCAAGUAAGUCAGUGGUGAAAUCUCCGGGCUUAACCCGGAAACUGCCAUUGAUACUAUUUGUCUUGAAUACUGUGGAGGUCAGCGGAAUAUGUCAUGUAGCGGUGAAAUGCUUAGAUAUGACAUAGAACACCAAUUGCGAAGGCAGCUGGCUACACAAAUAUUGACACUGAGGCACGAAAGCGUGGGGAUCAAACAGG